RNAcentral lists this long non-coding RNA (2810 nucleotides) under Panax ginseng (ginseng). RNAcentral's name for it is "long non-coding RNA (PGIN_LNC009305)". The record is from RNAcentral. Lineage: Eukaryota; Viridiplantae; Streptophyta; Magnoliopsida; Apiales; Araliaceae.
AGAUUUUUUAUGAGUCAUUUGAUGAAUAUUUUAAUGGACGAUGGAUAGCCUCUGAGAAGGAUAGCCUUUGGACAUGAGGAAUCGACUAAGUUCGAUAUGGUCUUGGUUGAGAAUGAUUCCUACCCAAGAAAUCAACCCAUAUCGAUACGGAUGUACGGUGAGUUUUCUUGAUUUUGUUAAUUCACAUUCCUUUUAUAAUGAGUUUUUUAUAUUGAAAAUGGUUAAUUUUUGUGCACAUAAUUUGUUAAGGUACUUCACACUGCUUUUUGUUAAUUUGGAGUUAUCUGGCAUGGUGCAUAUAAACUGUUUGGUGAAAUGCUCUAAUAAAAAGAUACACUAUUGAGAUGCAUGUCGUUGUUUGACUGAUGUGGUGAUUGACGCUCCAAAUUUACGAAUUUUUCAAUAUUUUGGAAUGCUUCUCUCAUAAUUUGCACAAACUUCACCUGUAUGUAUAGAUGAACUAGACAUAUAUGGAGGCUAUUAUUUCUCCUUUUUUAAGUGGAGCAAAUUUCUAUCUAAUUUUAGUUUGGUUCAAGAGGUUGAUAUUGAGAAUGACAGUGCAUUUUGACGUAUGUGUAUCAACAAACUUUUUUUAUUUAUUAUCAUUGUUUCUUUUUUGUUUUUGUCAUUGAAAUUGAUGUUUCUUUUUUUUUUCAAACAUUAACAAAUGUAGAGUAUAGAUGAUUGUUUUGAGGGAGAAGGGAUAUUAGGAGAAAUAUCAGUGCCUAGAGAAUAGGUAUUUAAAUGUAACAUUUUAAUUGGGAGUAUAUAAUAUUUGCUUCUGACCCAAUUUUUAUACUUCUAGCCAUAAUUUAAUUCUGUUAGAGACAACUUUAGUAUAGUUUAUGUUAGUUUAACAGCAUAUUAACUUUAGUAUAACUACUACUAUUAGUUGAACAAUAGAUUAAAUUUACAUGCCUGUCCAAGUGUUCAUUGAUAUAUUGUCAGGUGUUCAUUGAUAUUUUGUGAAGUGUUAGACUAUUAGUGAAUUCAUGCUAUUUCGUUUCCGAAGACCAGGUUUAAAGUUUCAUUAUACUACUAAUUGAUUCAUCCUCUUCUCCUUUUUUUUGUACUUUUUCUGUUGAUGAUUUCUAAGUAAACCCUAAUUAACGCUAUAUUUUGUUUUGUCUGGCUUUGAAUGCUAAGGGCAGUUCGAACAAGCUAAUAAGAGAACUCGAGGUGCUAAAGUUGAGGAUGGUACUUCCCGGAGAAAUAGACCCCUUUUCCAAGUUUCCCUCCCUUUAUAUAUAUAUUUUUUAAAAUUAAAAAAAAAAUCUAUACUUCUUUUUUAUUUGCAUUUCAGCUUUUUUGCCUAGCAUUUGGAAGAAACCAUAAUUCCUCACUUUUGCAGUUGGUACUGGAGAAAAAUUGACUUUUAAAUUCAACUAGGACAACCCCAAUUCCAGUUUGAUGGCUAUAAUGCAAUGCAACCAAAUAAAAUGAGUGGAUUUAAUAGCCUUACAAUGGGAAAAAUUUUAUUUUCUUCAAACUACAAAAUAAUGUUAUGUGUUUGAAAAUCAUAACAAUAUUAGUUGUAUUUGUAUAGCAUGUGUUAUUUGUCUCUUCUUUGAGGAUUAUGAUUGUUCGGCUUCUUUACAUUUGUCAAGUUCCUUUCUUUAAAUUAGUGCAUCUAAUAGAAUAGAGCUUUAGAAUACCUACCAAUUUGAACACCAGUUAUAGCAUAAUGUCUUGAUAAGCUUUUUCCCCUAUCCAAGCAUUGGAAAACUAUUUAUCUCUGAAUCAAAAUCUCCAUAGUAAGUAAUUUCUCUGUAUAUAUAAUACUAUGUAUAAUUUAGACUAAUAUAGUAGAUGACUUUUUGAGUGGGAUCUUCAUAAUUUUUUUUCAAGCUGCUUAUUGUAAAAUUCAGAUGAACAGGUACUACUUGUAUUAUGCUUUUGACCUUGAAAAUUCAAAUGAUAAUCCUUUUAUAUGACCUGUAGAUGUAAAAUACCAACAAUUGUUUGAUUAAUGUGUUAGCAUACUAAAGUAGAUAUGUUAUUAUGUCUUUUUAUUUUAUUUCAAUGUUCCUUCUGAUGAUGAUGAUAUGAAAUAGUUAGAAGAUUUUAUUGCAUAAAUAGUACGUGUUGCUUUACAAGAAAUUAGUCACGAUGGUUUUUUGUUUCUAUAAAAGAUUUUAAAGGAAGCAAUGUGAAUAGUUUUUGAACUGCUACUCUCUUUAUAUCUGUUUAAUUUAAAAGGUUCACUUUGAUAGUUAAGAUACAAAAUCUUUGAUCUUUGUUGUUGAUAAUAUUGAAGUCAGAAUUUUCCUCCAAAAAUUUGCUCUUCAUUGCAUUUUUUAUCUGAACAGAGAGAAGAGAGAGUUGAUUAAUGUGGUGAAUUUUAUACUUUAAUGUGGAAAACAUGAAAUGAUGAUGAUUAAAAAAGAGAAACUCAUAGUUAAAGAUUUGAUGCUGAAAACACUGAUAAAUAAAGACUUGCAUUAAUGUUGUCCACUUUGCUCCACAUUUUGCUUCUCCAAGGGAGAACAUGAUUUCAUAUAGAUUUGCAUAACCAUGGAAGUCUAUCUGUUUUUUUUUCUUCAAAUUUUAUGAAGGAGUUUUCCAAUUUCAAUAGAUGAUGUAAAUGCUUAAGCAUAUGUCUUUUAAUUUAUGUAUACAUGUAUCAAAUUCUCAAUUUUUUUACUUUAUUUUCUAGAAUUUUAUUUGGUGUCCUUUGAUAAUAUUGCAGGAAUGUGAUGGUACUAAACGAAGUUUUCCCAAAAUUAAUAUUCAACUAUGAGAUUCAGUGUCAAUCCUCUUUUUCCUCAGAAGAGUAUGUACCUCUUUAUGUAUUCCAAUUUAUGUAUUUG